UGCGCACGGCGGGCGGGGCCCUACCAUGCAAGUCGAGCGGAUGAAGGGAGCUUGCUCCUGGAUUCAGCGGCGGACGGGUGAGUAAUGCCUAGGAAUCUGCCUGGUAGUGGGGGAUAACGUCCGGAAACGGGCGCUAAUACCGCAUACGUCCUGAGGGAGAAAGUGGGGGAUCUUCGGACCUCACGCUAUCAGAUGAGCCUAGGUCGGAUUAGCUAGUUGGUGGGGUAAAGGCCUACCAAGGCGACGAUCCGUAACUGGUCUGAGAGGAUGAUCAGUCACACUGGAACUGAGACACGGUCCAGACUCCUACGGGAGGCAGCAGUGGGGAAUAUUGGACAAUGGGCGAAAGCCUGAUCCAGCCAUGCCGCGUGUGUGAAGAAGGUCUUCGGAUUGUAAAGCACUUUAAGUUGGGAGGAAGGGCAGUAAGUUAAUACCUUGCUGUUUUGACGUUACCAACAGAAUAAGCACCGGCUAACUUCGUGCCAGCAGCCGCGGUAAUACGAAGGGUGCAAGCGUUAAUCGGAAUUACUGGGCGUAAAGCGCGCGUAGGUGGUUCAGCAAGUUGGAUGUGAAAUCCCCGGGCUCAACCUGGGAACUGCAUCCAAAACUACUGAGCUAGAGUACGGUAGAGGGUGGUGGAAUUUUCCUGUGUAGCGGUGAAAAUGCGUAGAUUUUCGAAUGAAUUUU
This 687-nucleotide ribosomal RNA is filed under the name Pseudomonas panipatensis. RNAcentral's name for it is "bacterial SSU rRNA". It matches the Rfam family "Bacterial small subunit ribosomal RNA", at positions 30 to 710 of the family's 1533-position model. Lineage: Bacteria; Pseudomonadati; Pseudomonadota; Gammaproteobacteria; Pseudomonadales; Pseudomonadaceae. The record is from RNAcentral.